RNAcentral lists this ribosomal RNA (465 nucleotides) under Vreelandella stevensii. RNAcentral describes it as "partial 16S ribosomal RNA". It matches the Rfam family "Bacterial small subunit ribosomal RNA", at positions 338 to 795 of the family's 1533-position model. Lineage: Bacteria; Pseudomonadati; Pseudomonadota; Gammaproteobacteria; Oceanospirillales; Halomonadaceae. The record is from RNAcentral.
CCUACGGGUGUCAGCAGUGGGGAAUAUUGGACAAUGGGGGCAACCCUGAUCCAGCCAUGCCGCGUGUGUGAAGAAGGCCCUCGGGUUGUAAAGCACUUUCAGUGAGGAAGAACGCCUGGUGGUUAAUACCCAUCAGGAAAGACAUCACUCACAGAAGAAGCACCGGCUAACUCCGUGCCAGCAGCCGCGGUAAUACGGAGGGUGCGAGCGUUAAUCGGAAUUACUGGGCGUAAAGCGCGCGUAGGUGGCUUGAUAAGCCGGUUGUGAAAGCCCCGGGCUCAACCUGGGAACGGCAUCCGGAACUGUCAAGCUAGAGUGCAGGAGAGGAAGGUAGAAUUCCCGGUGUAGCGGUGAAAUGCGUAGAGAUCGGGAGGAAUACCAGUGGCGAAGGCGGCCUUCUGGACUGACACUGACACUGAGGUGCGAAAGCGUGGGUAGCAAACAGGAUUAGAUACCCUGGUAGUC